This 279-nucleotide long non-coding RNA is filed under the name Carica papaya (papaya). RNAcentral describes it as "long non-coding RNA (CPAP_LNC014012)". The record is from RNAcentral. Lineage: Eukaryota; Viridiplantae; Streptophyta; Magnoliopsida; Brassicales; Caricaceae.
AGAGAUAAAAAAAGAGCGCGGCAGAAGCCGGUGGCAUGAUGAUGGCUAAAUAGGUUUGGCAUGUAAUUACCUUCAUUUGAUGAUGAUGAAAUGGCGUGGAAGAAACUGAAAAUCAGAAGGGAGGUGCGCCUUUUGGUGAUGCCUAAUUAUUGAUUCGGCAAGACGCAACGAUGAAGCAGGAACAACUAAAAGAGAAGAAGAAGCGCGGCAGACAACAAGAUGCAAUGAUGGUUGAUUGAUGAUUCGAAUCAAAUUUUCUUUUUAUUUUUUUAAUGAAUG